This 68-nucleotide transfer RNA is filed under the name Ocinara albicollis. Its description in RNAcentral is "tRNA-Ala". Lineage: Eukaryota; Metazoa; Arthropoda; Insecta; Lepidoptera; Bombycidae. The record is from RNAcentral.
AGGAUUUUAGUCUAUAUAAAACAUUUGAUUUGCAAUCAAAAAUUAUUGAAUUAAAUCAAUUUAUCUUA